CGCCCUUCAGAGGGGGACAACAGUUGGAAACGACUGCUAAUACCGCAUACGAUCUAAUCUCGGCAUCGAGGAUGGAUGAAAGGUGGCCUCUAUUUAUAAGCUAUCACUGAAGGAGGGGAUUGCGUCUGAUUAGCUAGUUGGAGGGGUAACGGCCCACCAAGGCAAUGAUCAGUAGCCGGUCUGAGAGGAUGAACGGCCACAUUGGGACUGAGACACGGCCCAG
RNAcentral lists this ribosomal RNA (223 nucleotides) under uncultured bacterium. RNAcentral's name for it is "partial 16S ribosomal RNA". It matches the Rfam family "Bacterial small subunit ribosomal RNA", at positions 127 to 334 of the family's 1533-position model. The record is from RNAcentral.